Molecule: long non-coding RNA, 256 nt
Filed under: Gossypium barbadense (sea-island cotton)
Lineage: Eukaryota; Viridiplantae; Streptophyta; Magnoliopsida; Malvales; Malvaceae
Description: long non-coding RNA (GBAR_LNC010843)
Source: RNAcentral
GAUAGUAGGUUUUGAUCCGACGGUUGGGUUCUGUUCGUGAUGUAUUUAGAUCUUACGAUCUGGGAUUGCCUAGUGUUGUGAUUCUUGUGGUUGGCCCUCUUGACCUAGGUGGAGAUUAUUUGGGGCGAAACCCAAUAAAUUUGUUUAUUAUAUACUAAUUUUUUAUGACGUGCAAUGCACGAGUUGUUCGUUUAUUUCAUAAAAAAUUAGGUAUUGUUUAAAUAUUAAUUUAUUAUUAAUUAAAAUUUUUCUUGGC